CUGAGGGCCCUGGCUGACCUGCUGGCCCAUUCACCUGAACAAGGUUCACCCAGGGCAGUUUCCACAAAUCCGGAGCAGAGCCAGAGAGCCAGCCCAUGCCUGGCACAGAGGAGACGCUCAACACCUGUCAUCCCUUCCCUUCUCCUGCCUGUCCCUCAGAGUUCCUGGAGCUUCCGUUCUGCUGAGCCUCAUGCUGCCCAUGCGACACAUCACGACCAUUUUCAGGACCACAACCUCCCUGUCCCAUGGCCGUUUUCUGAGGUCUAGAAGUCACCCCCUUGGGCUUAAGCAACCACGAGGCCAUGGAUGGUCACAAAUUUCCCUGGGCUGCACUCCACAAACCCUCCAGUGGGCACAGCACGUGUCUCUCACAUUUUGGAGAGAAAGGAACUGAGAACUCCCAUUUCUGGAACCCCAUGCCAGUUCUAGAAGGUUCCAUCCUGAAGAUGAAAGCUGAUUUGUCAUCUGUGGUGUGUCCCAAGAAAAGAAAAAUACCUCAUUUUGUACUGAGCACUAACUACACACCAGGUGCCUAUUGAAGCCUCUGAGGUACAGUCAUGGGAGAGAUGCUGCCUCUUCCCCAAAGGCACAAUAGCACCGAUAUUUGAAGAGUCAGUGAUAGACGAUUUCAUCAGAAGGUUCUGGCAACAGAAACUACCAAACGACUUAUUUUAAAAACAAAACAAAAUGGAAAAUAUUAAAAUCCAAUCAGCUCAUUGAUCACCAGGGAGAAAGAAAAUGAACAUGUGUCUCUUGUACUCAGCCUGCUCUAAAAUAUGAAACUGGAAUGUGUUUCAGAAAGCAACAAAGAUGUGAGUAUGGAAUAUUAAAGCACUAUGAUAAUUUGAUAGUACAAUUUUCCUUUGUGGAUUUCCUGUAGUGACCAAUAUUAAUAUAAUAGGAGUGAACAUCUACUGGGUACUUAUUACAUAUUAGCAUUUUCUAUGGUAUUUUAUUAGGUUACAGAACAACCCAAUGAGGAAAGUACUACUCUUGUCAGCCCUGUUUCAUAGACUAGGAACAGAGGAACCGUGAUUCACCCAAAGUUUUGAGUGAUUCACCCAAAGUUUUGUGGCUAAUAAAACUCCAUUCCAGCCCAGGCGCAGUGGCUCAUGCCUGUAAUCCCAACACUUCGGGAGGCCGAGGCAGGCAGAUCACUUGAGGUCAGGAGUUCAAGACCAGCCUGGCCAACAUGGAGAAACCCUGUCUCUACUAAAAACAUAAAAAUUAGCCAGAUAUGGUGGCAUGUGCCUGUAACCCUAGCUACUCAGGAGGCUAAGGCGUGAAAAUGGCUUGAACCCAGGAGGCAGAGGUUGCAGUAAGCUGAGAUUGUGCCACUGCACUCUAGCCUAGAUGACAGAGUGAGACUACAUCUCAGAAACAAAAAACAAACAAAAACUCCAUUCCAGCCUGGGCGCCUCUCUCCAGGCCCUCACUUCCAACCCAGAACACACUAGAUUCCAGAGGGAAACCCAGUCGCCAGCCUGAAGCUGGCAUUCAGGUUGCCCUUCUCAGGGAACUCAAAGGGUGACGCAGGAAUUUUCUCUGUUUUGCUUGUUUUGAGUCAGGGCCUCUGUCGCCCAGGCCAGAAUGCAGUAGCAAGAUCAUGGGCUCACUGCAGCCUUGACCUUCCUGGGGUCUAGCGAUCCUUCCACCUCAGGCUCCCAAAUAGGUGGGACUACAGGCAUUCCACUACACCCGGCUAAUUUUUGUAUUUUUGGUAGAAACAGGAUUUCACCAUGUUGCCCAGUCUGGUCUUGAACUCCUGGGCUCAAGAGAUCCUCCCACCUCAGCCUCCCACAGUGCUGGCAUUACAGGUUUGAGCCACUGUGCCUGGCCAGUGCAGGCAUUUUCUCCUUGGCCCUUAUCAGCUUGGUGGAGCUAAGAGCAUUAUUUUCUCCUGAUGAAGAGCUAAGCCUCUGGGCAGAAGUUGAGCAGCCCAGGCAAGGUCAAGAAGGGAAUGAAUGGUAGACUUUCUGGUCUCAGGCUGCAAAUUCCUUCUGUCUAAUCGAACUACCCCAAAAGGCACAAAAAGAAAACAAAAAUGUACCCUCUUGCUCCAAAACCAUUCUCCUGGCUUUCUCAGCCCUUUAUGGGACAUCUCAGCCCUUUAUGUAUUUUUGUUCUUAUUUUUUUGAGACAGGGUCUUGCUCUGUUGCGCAGGCUGGUGUAUAGUGGUGCCAUCAUAGCUCACUGCAGCCUCGAAGUCCUGGGCUCAUACAAUCCUCCCACCUCAGCCUCCUGAGUAGCUGAGACUACAGGCACACACCAUCAUAAGCUGCUAAUUUUUAAAAUUUUUUUGUAGAGAUAGGGUCUUGUGGUAUAGCCCAGGCUGGUCUCAAACUCCUGGUAUAAAGUGAUACUUCUGCUUUGGUCUCCCAAAGUGUUGAGAUUACAGGUGUAAGCCACUGUACCUUGCCUCAUCUCAGUCCUUUAAAGAUGCACCGGAGGCUCUGCUAGUCAUUAGAAACCAGUGCAUAUAGUGUGUGUGUGUUUGUUUAUGUGUGUGUAUGUGUUUUGUAAGGGUGACAGAGUUGGCGAGUGAGGGCAACAACCAAGGAAUUCAAUCAACUCAAUAGAGAAAAACAUUACAUCACUGACAAUGUAGCAGCAGGGCCAGGUGGUGGCUCUUGCCUAUAAUCCCAGCACAUUGGGAGGCCGAGACGGGUGGAUUGCUUGAGCCUAGGAGUUUGAGACCAGUCUGGGCAACAUGGCGAAACCCCGUCUCUACUAAAAACACAGAAAUUAGCCAGGCAUGGUGGUGCAAGCCUAUAAUCCCAGCUAUUCAGGAGGCUGAGGCAGGAGAAUUGCUUGAACCUGGAAGGCAGAGGUUGCAGUGAGCCAAGAUCAUGCCACUACACUCCAACAUAGGUGACAGAGUGAGACUCAGUCAAAAAAGAAAGAAAGAAAGAGAGAGAAAGACGGAAGGAAGGAGAAAGAAAGAAAGAAAAGAGAAAGAAAGAAAGAGAAAGGAAGGAAGGAAGAAAGAAAGAAAGAAAGAAAGAAAGAGUAGCAGUAAACAUGAGACUAGUUGCCAUAGCAACCAUUUAAUUGACAUUUUCAUUUUCCCAGCAUUUGUUCUGGGCAGGUGUGGGCAGACAUGUGUCCUCAGGGAUGUGCAAGGAUGAGGGUGUGUCUGUUUCCCCCAUUAGUCUUCAUAAUUGAAGGGGUUGGUACUGCUCCUAGACAAGGCCUUGGGAAUCGGGACUUUAACAGUGCACAGAAAACCCCGUCUGAGAACAUCCACAGCAGGCAGAGCCAACCUCACCGUGUAAAGGCAGUGGAGGUGAUGGUGAACUUGCUUGCUGCGUGGAUGGGAUGCUGAGGCUCAAGUGGAGGGCCAUACAGAUUGGCCUUGGCAGAGCGCAGCCCAGACCCAGGUCCGCUAACUCCUGGUGGGCCACACUGGCUUGAAGCCACACUGGCUUGCUGAACCAGGGUCAAGUAGCCGGGGUUAGGGGAAAAAAUAUAAGACGAGGAAGAAGCAUAGCACAGCUUAAAUCCAUCGAGAGUGCAGAAUCACCUUUCAUCUUCUGAAGGAGCAAUUGUUUUCUGUACCAAACCACACAAUGCAAGCAAAUCUGCUGCCAAAGAACAAAGAGAAAAAUGCAGGGAACAAGCAGCUUCCCAAGCCUCGCAGCCGGGGAUGGAAUUAAAUUCAAAUUCACCUGCAAGAGCAGCUGAUGGUUCAGCUACAAACCGCCUCCAAGCAGCCUCUGAGAUUCAAAAUUCAUGCGCCCUGCGAACUACACAGCAUAUACUAGUGGCAGCCCUGGCUGGGUCCUCGCAGCCACGCAAUUUUUGAGGAUGACACACAUGGAAUACUAAACAUAUCCCGGGAGUUCCAGACACAGCCACCUAGUUACAGCCCAGCCUGCUCUUGUCUGCAGCAAUUUUUCUCAAAGGUGCGGCUUCAUGCAUAUCUAUUACCAAGCACACGUAGACAAGACGGUGUUCGGAAAGCACAGCCCCGAGUGGGAAACAGGAGCUGUCAGCAAAUCAUUUUCACAGGAACAGGAAAAUCUUUACGUGGAAAAUAUUGCUUUGGGACUUCCCCGGGAGGAAAGAACGAGCUGAAAUUGAUGGUGUUGCAGCUUCCAUUUUCCAAAAAGCAAAAUGCUUUUAAGACCAUCAGGGUUACGCUUGAUCAUAGCUUUGCUUAAUCCAUUUCUUCACGGGUUUUGCCCUUGUCAUCUUUGCUUCCUGAACCACUCCUGCACCUUACAGUCACCGCAAAUCCCAUCCCAUAAAAAUCUGUGGCGUCUCUGUGUGUGGAAAUCAAACAACAAAAAGGCACCGCCAUGUGUAGCUGCGUUACGCUUUCGGUGGAAAGAUGACAUGGAUGAAAUGGCCCCUGGGAAACACUGGGGAGGCCUGACUAGCAAGGUGCAGAGUGGGGGAUUAAUGGGGAGAUACACAGGGCCUCUUACUAAAACUGAGAAUAGCAUUCUGUUGAAGAACCCUUAUUUUGAGGCUGGGCACAGUGGCUCACGCCUGUAACAUCAGCACUUGGGGAGGCCGAAGUGGGAGGAUUACUUGAGGCCAGGAGGUCAAGGCUGCAGUGAGUUAUGAUCAAGCCACUGCACUUCAGCCUGAGUGACAGAGGGAGACCCUGUCUCUAAAAAAAUUAAAAAGAAACCAUAUUUGGGGUGAUGAUAUCCAUCCCCUAAAAUAAUAAAGAUUAGCUGGGCACAGUGACUCAAGCUUGUAAUCCCAGCACUUUGGGGAGGCCAAGGCGGGAGGAUCCCUUGAGCUCAGGAGUUCAAGACUAGCCUGGGCAACAUGGGGAGACCCCAUCUCUACAAAAAGGAAAAAAAAAUUCCAGGCAUGGUGGUGCACACCUGUGGUCCCAGCUACUUGGGAGGCUAAAGUGGGAGGAUCACUUGGGAUUGGGAGGUGGAGGCUACGGUGAGCCAUGAUCAUCCCACUGCACUCCAGCCUCGGUGACAGAGCAAGACCAUGUCUCAAUAAUGAUAAUAAUAAUAAAAAGAUUAUUUAUAAAUGUCUCUGUAACUGAAACACCCCCUCAAAAAAAUCCUGUAAAUUGGAGACCUUACCUAUCAUCGUUCCCUUCAUUUUAUUUUAAAUUUCAUUGAAAUUUAUCCUAAAGCACUUCCUGUGACUUGAAAAUGCAGGCAUUUUGGCUAACAUUAUUAUUCAUUUCUUUACAUUUGAAUGUAAUAAACGUGUCAGGUUUAUUUAUCUGAACUUAAAUCUAAGUUUUAGUGAUUUUUUCCCCCCUGGAUCUAAAAUUCCAUCAUUCUUGAGCAACUCAUAUUUGUCAAUUUGACAGCUUCUCCACUAUUUUAAGCACUUUCCUUUUCAUCACCAUCCAUU
Molecule: long non-coding RNA, 5337 nt
Filed under: Homo sapiens (human)
Lineage: Eukaryota; Metazoa; Chordata; Mammalia; Primates; Hominidae
Description: HSALNT0386365
Source: RNAcentral